RNAcentral lists this transfer RNA (72 nucleotides) under Komagataella phaffii GS115. Its description in RNAcentral is "tRNA-Trp (CCA) (tRNA-Trp-CCA-2-1)". It matches the Rfam family "tRNA". From Rfam's summary of the family: Transfer RNA (tRNA) molecules are approximately 80 nucleotides in length. The record is from RNAcentral. Lineage: Eukaryota; Fungi; Ascomycota; Pichiomycetes; Pichiales; Pichiaceae. RNAcentral also lists the same sequence under 1 other name.
GAUGCGGUGGCUCAAUGGUAGAGCUUUCGACUCCAGAUCGAAGGGCUGCAGGUUCAAUUCCUGUCCGUGUCA